GUCGUCAGCUCGUGCCGUGAGGUGUCGGGUUAAGUCCCAUAACGAGCGCAACCCUUACCGUUUAGUUACCAUCAGGUUAAGCUGGGGACUCUAGCGGGACUGCACCGUAAGGUGAGAGGAAGGUGGGGAUGACGUCAAAUCAGCACGGCCCUUAUGUCCAGGGCUACACACGUGUUACAAUGGCCAGUACAAAGGGCAGCUACCGGGUGACCGGAUGCUAAUCUCUAAAGCUGGUCUCAGUUCGGAUCGAAGUCUGCAACCCGACUUCGUGAAGCUGGAUUCGCUAGUAAUCGCGCAUCAGCCAUGGCCGCGGUUCCGAAUACGUUCCGGCCUU
RNAcentral lists this ribosomal RNA (334 nucleotides) under uncultured Sphingobacteriales bacterium. Its description in RNAcentral is "bacterial SSU rRNA". It matches the Rfam family "Bacterial small subunit ribosomal RNA", at positions 1051 to 1374 of the family's 1533-position model. Lineage: Bacteria; Pseudomonadati; Bacteroidota; Sphingobacteriia; Sphingobacteriales. The record is from RNAcentral.